GGUAGCUUGCUCCCGGAUGUUAGCGGCGGACGGGUGAGUAACACGUGGGUAACCUGCCUGUAAGACUGGGAUAACUCCGGGAAACCGGAGCUAAUACCGGAUGGUUCCUUGAACCGCAUGGUUCAAGGAUGAAAGACGGUUUCGGCUGUCACUUACAGAUGGACCCGCGGCGCAUUAGCUAGUUGGUGGGGUAAUGGCUCCCAAGGCGACGAUGCGUACCGACCUGAGAGGGUGAUCGGCCACGCUGGGACUGAUACACGCCCCNAACUCCUACCNAAGGCGACUGUAG
RNAcentral lists this ribosomal RNA (289 nucleotides) under Bacillus safensis. Its description in RNAcentral is "partial 16S ribosomal RNA". It matches the Rfam family "Bacterial small subunit ribosomal RNA", at positions 74 to 357 of the family's 1533-position model. Lineage: Bacteria; Bacillati; Bacillota; Bacilli; Caryophanales; Bacillaceae. The record is from RNAcentral.